This 573-nucleotide ribosomal RNA is filed under the name Triticum aestivum (bread wheat). RNAcentral describes it as "partial small subunit ribosomal RNA". Lineage: Eukaryota; Viridiplantae; Streptophyta; Magnoliopsida; Poales; Poaceae. The record is from RNAcentral.
AUGGUGAUACAGCAAUCUGGAAAUGCCUACAAUUUUUCCUUUCCGCUUGUCCUUGGGUCAGCCAUGUGUGAGCUUGGCAAUGGCACCCACAUUUCCUUGUGGUUUGACAAAUGGGUUGGGAGCAAAAGGCUCAUGAUCUCCUUCCCAACACUAUUCUCUUUCGCUAAAGCUAAAUUUUGCACGAUGGCAUCUCAGUUCCAAGGAGGGCACUGGGAAAUCCAACCACAUCCAAACCUUUCUGCUUCGGCCUCAAGGGAGCUUGAGGCACUGAUGGAGUUGCUCAACGGCAUUGAGCCACAUGACACUGAAGUUGGCCUUUGGGCAUUGGCCAAAUCUUCCCAGGGACUCCAUGAUCUCUUCCUCUCUGCCGCGGCUUGCAACUUGUUUGGUCAGCUACGACACAUCUUUGCGGCGCCAUGCUCGCGUGGUUUCUUUAUGGACGGCCCGGAACGCGCUAGGGUGUUUGAGACCGCGGCUCGAAUGCUAUCUGAAUUGGCUGAUCUUGUCAAGCUUUGGAGCUCGCGAGAGGAAGACAGGCAUGCCAUGAUGUCUUGGGUUGAUUCUCUGAGAUAG